UCCGUAGGCGGUGUGGCAAGUCGGAAGUGAAAUCUCUGGGCUUAACUCAGAGGCUGCUUCCGAAACUGCCGUGCUAGAGUGCGAGAGAGGCAAGUGGAAUUGCGGGUGUAGCGGUGAAAUGCGUAGAUAUCCGCAGGAACAUCCGAGGCGAAAGCGGCUUGCUGGAUCGCAACUGACGCUGAGGGACGAAAGCUAGGGGAGCAAACAGGAUUAGAUACCCUGGUAGUCCUAGCCCUAAACCAUCAGGACUUGGGGUUUGCCCUGUACGGGGCAAGUCCCGUAGCUAACGCGUUAAGUCCCGCGCCUGGGGAGUACGGUCGCAAGGCUGAA
This 330-nucleotide ribosomal RNA is filed under the name uncultured bacterium. RNAcentral describes it as "bacterial SSU rRNA". It matches the Rfam family "Bacterial small subunit ribosomal RNA", at positions 568 to 898 of the family's 1533-position model. The record is from RNAcentral.